CGCGUAGGCGGGAGAGCAAGUCAGAUGUGAAAUGUGGGGCUUAACCCUCAAGCUGCAUUUGAAACUGUUUUCUUGAGUAUCGGAGAGGCAGGCGGAAUUCCUAGUGUAGCGGUGAAAUGCGUAGAUAUUAGGAGGAACACCAGUGGCGAAGGCGGCCUGCUGGACGACAACUGACGCUGAGGCGCGAAAGCGUGGGGAGCAAACA
The sequence is a ribosomal RNA, 205 nucleotides long. It matches the Rfam family "Bacterial small subunit ribosomal RNA", at positions 568 to 774 of the family's 1533-position model.